This 1261-nucleotide long non-coding RNA is filed under the name Papio anubis (olive baboon). Its description in RNAcentral is "lncRNA (ENSPANG00000047170.1)". Lineage: Eukaryota; Metazoa; Chordata; Mammalia; Primates; Cercopithecidae. The record is from RNAcentral.
GAAAAAGAGAUAGAAGUGGCCUGGCUUUGAAACAUGGUGCUAUCCCCUAGCAAGCAGAGGAGGAGCUGUCAGACAGAAAUGGUACCUUUCCCCAGAGUCUAUGUUGAGAUGCACCAGCCUUUCCAGUCCUGAGAAACAACAAAGUCAUUGCUCCAGGGCAGGUGGGCAGGCCUGUGUCCCAGGAGGCACUGUUCUUCCUGGCCAGAGACCCAUGCCCACUUCAGAGGAGCCAUGAAGGAGAAACCCCAGGCCACAGUGAAGGAUUGUGAUCAAGGAACAAUUGAAGACCUGCUGCAGGAAAUUGGAGCUGCCAAUCUCCUAACAAUUGGAAUUUUUUUUAUACUACGCAUUUCACGAUCGUUUGAGAUGGCAGAAGGACUGAAGACCUGGGGAGGAGAGAGGAGGAAACUGGAGGACUGUGAACAUGGCCACAUCUUCUCCAUGGAGAGAAAACUCCAUCGGAUCUGGGCACUCCCUACAUUUCUCCACCUCCUGCCGCCCCCAUGAGUCUCUGCAGGGAGAUUUUUCUGAAUAAUGGAACAUUUUCCUGUUUUAAUCAGAUGCAAUUUUGCAAGCAGUUUUUAUGAUUUAGCAAGUCCAUUAAAACUGGCAUUUGUUCUGCUCUGACACUCGAAAGGGGCUCCACAGAGCAUAAACAUUGGAAAUUACUUGUAGGGAGAGACAAUAUUAAAAUUCCCCAGCCUGGGCCUGUUGUCUGAGAAAUUCUGUUAUCAAGCAUCGUGCCAGCUACGAUCAGAGGCGCUUGAGAUAUAUGCUGCUUCCUCUUUACGCACUAGCUGGGGGCUCGGGAAACUCAGGCAGCAAUAAAGUCGCAAGGCUGUUAUCUCUCAGCACUGUUUUGGCAUCAGGAGGUGAAUGGGUCUUAAAGAGAACUCACUGGAAGAGCAGGUCACAAAGUGCAAAAUCUCAAGGAAGAGGGUGGGUAAGCACAUCUUUAAGGACAAGCCUGGAAAUUUCUUUCCUGCCCACGGUGAAUGAUAGGGUUUAUUAGCACAUAAUUAAGAAGGUCUGUUUUGUCACUUUCACUUGUAGUCAAUUCUCAAUUAUCCAUAUACUAACAGAUGACCAGGGUCAAAUGAAAAUUCUCCUUUUGCCCUCUUUCUGCUUCCCUACAGGAACUCCCUCUCCAUAGAACCAAAGUAGAGUAGCAGCAAGAGAGGCUUUGGGGAGCAUCUCCACUCUCCCAAUCAAUGCAGAAGCCAUAGAAGAAAUCACAAAAGAUAGAACCUGGCAGUUCAAC